UGAGUAAGCCAGAUGAUUGCGGGAAUUUUAUUCACGAGGAAAGUCCGGGCUUCAUAGGGCAAGGGUGCCGGGCAACUCCCGGUGGAGGCGACUCUAAGGACAGUGCAACAGAAAUAGACUGCCGGAAACGGCGAUGGUGGAAAGGUGAGGUAAGAGCUCACCAGCGCUACGGCGACGCAGCGGCUAUGUAAACCCCACCCGAAGCAACACCGUAUUGGCUUAUGCAGGCUUAAUCUGCCCGAUGUGCCUGUGUAUGGCGGUGGCUUGAGCCGUAUAGUAAUAUACGGCCUAGACAGAUAAUCAUCAAAUACAGAACCCGGCUUACAGACUUGCUCAACAU
This 340-nucleotide RNase P RNA is filed under the name Clostridia bacterium. Its description in RNAcentral is "RNase P RNA component class A". It matches the Rfam family "Bacterial RNase P class A". From Rfam's summary of the family: Ribonuclease P (RNase P) is a ubiquitous endoribonuclease, found in archaea, bacteria and eukarya as well as chloroplasts and mitochondria. Its best characterised activity is the generation of mature 5'-ends of tRNAs by cleaving the 5'-leader elements of precursor-tRNAs. Cellular RNase Ps are ribonucleoproteins. The record is from RNAcentral. Lineage: Bacteria; Bacillati; Bacillota; Clostridia.